This 372-nucleotide ribosomal RNA is filed under the name uncultured bacterium. RNAcentral's name for it is "partial 16S ribosomal RNA". It matches the Rfam family "Bacterial small subunit ribosomal RNA", at positions 355 to 717 of the family's 1533-position model. The record is from RNAcentral.
UGGGGAAUAUUGCACAAUGGGCGCAAGCCUGAUGCAGCCAUGCCGCGUGUGUGAAGAAGGCCUUCGGGUUGUAAAGCACUUUCAGCGAGGAGGAAGGUGGUGGACUUAAUACGUUCAUCAAUUGACGUUACUCGCAGAAGAAGCACCGGCUAACUCCGUGCCAGCAGCCGCGGUAAUACGGAGGGUGCAAGCGUUAAUCGGAAUUACUGGGCGUAAAGCGCACGCAGGCGGUUUGUUAAGUCAGAUGUGAAAUCCCCGGGGCUCAACCUGGGAACUGCAUUUGAAACUGGCAAGCUAGAGUCUCGUAGAGGGGGGCUAGAAUUCCAGGUGUAGCGGUGAAAUGCGUAGAGAUCUGGAGGAAUACCGGUGGCG